This 2765-nucleotide unclassified non-coding RNA is filed under the name Dendronephthya gigantea. Its description in RNAcentral is "cWF19-like protein 2, transcript variant X1". Lineage: Eukaryota; Metazoa; Cnidaria; Anthozoa; Malacalcyonacea; Nephtheidae. The record is from RNAcentral.
GAAAUUCGAGUGAGGUUUACUCAUCAGAAAUACAUUUGAGACAGAGCAACUUCUACUUCAUAGAAGUUUUAAUUACACAUAUUCCUCAAAGUUCUUUUCAUCUCAGGUGGAAAAUUCCAAAUUCUAAGAACUUUGAAGUAAUAUCUCACAAAUAUCUCUAUUCUUUCUUAGCAGAAUCUCACGGAUUUGAGGAAUUAAUAGAGCAUGUGCCAUUCACUCGAGCAACACAAAAUUACAUAACUGGUCAUCCCAAACAAUCAAUUUUAUCCACGACUGAAAAAUUUCAUUCAGGCAUUAAAUAUCUUGAGUGGAAUGAUGUUAGCUCAGCUCUACCGGUUUGUCCCUAUCGCCCAGGUUAUGUUGGUAAAAAAGUCGUGAAUCAGUACGAUAUUUUAAUGCAUUUUGUUAACCCAUCAUACAUGUAUCCAGAAAUUAAACAUGCCAUGCUGAAGGAAGGAAAGUGGGACCCAUGGUUUCCACUUGAGAAAAAAGACGCAUUUGGUAUUGUUGCAAAAUAUCUGAAGAAACUUGGAGAUUCAUAUCCCGGAAAAUACAAGUUGAAAAAGAUUUUGAGUGUGGAGAAGAAACCAGAUUGGCAUAAAGAGAACCGAGAGUUUUACAAAGGAACAUUAAGACAUGGAGAUAGAUUUUUUCUAGAACUAUUGUUGUGGGAUAACACAAAUGAUAAAGAGGUUAUCUUAUCAGAGUAUGUGUACGAAUUUAAGAAUAACAAAACACUGUGUUACCCUGAAGGCAUGCAAUGGAACAAAACUGUGCCAGUGUAUUUAUUGAUUUCUGUCCGAAAACAGGCACCGUGGGUGUGGCAUUUUAUAAAGAAUAUGGAGCGUCUUUAUCAGAGUACUGCCGAUGAAAACCUACACGUAAUUGUAUUUGAUUUCAACAGUACAAGUAUUGACAGUGAAACUCUAUUUCAAAAGAGCUCAUUCAAAAACUAUAAGGUUUUAAAGUGUUCGAACAGCAGGUUUCAUAAGACAUAUGCCUUGAAUAGAGCAGCAGAUGCAGUGACAGAUCCGAAUGCAAUUGUUUUCACAGUGGAUCUACAUCUGGAAAUUCCACCGUCAUUUGCAAACAGUAUCCGCAAACAUUGCAUUAAAGGUAAAAUGGUUUUCACCCCCAUCCUAGCAAGGCUGUCAUGUGGUGCUUCACCACGAUACUUGCAUGGAGCUUGGGAUCCCUGGGGAUACGGAAUGUUUGGUGCAUACAAGACAGAUUGGAAGACCUUUGAUGGAUUUGAUGAGGUGAAGUUUACCACACGGUGGGGUGGAGAAGACUGGGAUCUUGUAGAACGAGCAUAUAAUGUCGGAUUGGAAUUCGAACGAAUAAAAAUUCCAGAUUUUUAUCAUUAUGAACACCCCAGAGUUGGAAUGUGGGCAUAACAAUGGUACAUUCUAAAUCUAUAAUUGAAAGAAAUUAUUGCACAUCCUAAGAUAGCGUAGUUACUUAAUUUUGAUUACGGAUCAGGGAUCGACAGCACCUUAUAUUUCUCAUAGACAGAUAAAAAAGUUUACACACCUAGAUUUGAAGUUAGUUAAAGCCUGGUUCUCAUGACGGUCAGCGAUGAAUGCAUCGCCGUCGCCGACUGUCUGUAUGACAUAUGAAAGUCUAAUUCAAAAGCAAUUUUACUUGUUUUGAAUUUGACACAUUUAUAAAGCGUAUGCAUAUAACUCGUUAACUUACGCAACAACUAGGAACUAGCCUUAAAUUCUUUCUUUUGAACUUUUUGUUUUAAGCAUGCAAAUAGUUCUAAUUUCCAUCCAAUCAAAAGCAAUAAGAAGCAUUCUUUGUGAAUGGCAAACAUUUAGGUCGUGUUUACCCGUUUAUACCAGAUUACUAUCGGAUUUGUUUAGCUCGUGAGAAUGCAAUGCAUUAAUUUUUGUUUAGCUCGUGAGAAUGCAAUGCACUUGUUUAGCUCGUGAGAAUGUGUGACAAGUUUUCAAGAGAGUUGAGACAGAAUUCGAAACAAGUGACAACCUAGGUUGGUUCUAUUAUGAAAUAAUGAUGAUUUACCAUAUGAUCCGAUCAGCAUUACUGACAUUAGCAUUCAGCACAAGACUGACAAGAGUAAUCAAAGUAUUUGCAUUAAUUUCAAGUGUUUGAAAUAAAAUUUACUUUGAUGAAAGUGGAAACAUCAAAACAAAUAUGGCGGAUUUGGUAAAUUUUGUUUCUAAGUCGGACUUGGACGCAAGAAAAGCGCAGCGUCGCGAAGAAAGAAAAGCAGUGCUUCUUAAAGCAAAGGAGCAGUAUGAAAGAAGAGAACGAGAUUUGGAGGAAAGAAAGAAGAAGGGUGAAGAUGUCUGGAUGUUACCAUCAGUUGAUAGUCGACUUUCUCCCAAAAACAGUGACGAGGAUGAGCAUGUAAAAAAGAAGAAACACAAGCAAGAUAAGAAGAAAAAGAAAAAGAAAAAACGACAAAAAGUAUUAUCAAAUACUAUGUAUAUAUGAGUUUUCUACUGUCUAUUUUCUAUUAUUGGCCAAUAAAAAUGCAUAUAAUAAUUACAGUUACAAUGUGAAUAAAAGCCUAUAAUACGAUAUGGGCACAAAAGGGUUAGUAGAGUACAGCACUUUAGGGUGGAUAGGUAAGAAUUAUGACACAAAUUUAUAGCAGGUUUUACCUAAGAAUAAAAAAGGAUGACAAAAAUGGGUGUAAGUAAUAAAUUUUUGUUAAAUUGCUGUAGAUUUGUGUCCUACUUCAUAAUGUGGCUGAUCUGGGGUAUUUGUUCUGAAGUAACUGUUAUAUUUUAGAG